CCUACGGGAGGCUGCAGUGGGGAAUAUUGGACAAUGGGGGGAACCCUGAUCCAGCCAUGCCGCGUGUGUGAAGAAGGCCCUCGGGGUGUAAAGCACUUUCAGUGAGGAAGAACGCCUGGUGGUUAAUACCCAUCAGGAAAGACAUCACUCACAGAAGAAGCACCGGCUAACUCCGUGCCAGCAGCCGCGGUAAUACGGAGGGUGCGAGCGUUAAUCGGAAUUACUGGGCGUAAAGCGCGCGUAGGUGGCUUGAUAAGCCGGUUGUGAAAGCCCCGGGCUCAACCUGGGAACGGCAUCCGGAACUGUCAAGCUAGAGUGCAGGAGAGGAAGGUAGAAUUCCCGGUGUAGCGGUGAAAUGCGUAGAGAUCGGGAGGAAUACCAGUGGCGAAGGCGGCCUUCUGGACUGACACUGACACUGAGGUGCGAAAGCGUGGGUAGCAAACAGGAUUAGAUACCCCAGUAGUC
Molecule: ribosomal RNA, 465 nt
Filed under: Vreelandella stevensii
Lineage: Bacteria; Pseudomonadati; Pseudomonadota; Gammaproteobacteria; Oceanospirillales; Halomonadaceae
Description: partial 16S ribosomal RNA
Rfam family: Bacterial small subunit ribosomal RNA
Source: RNAcentral